ACGGGGUGCAGCAGGCGCGAAAACUCCGCAAUGUGCGAAAGCAUGACGGGGGAAUCCCAAGUGCCGUUGGUCUUUUUGAUCGGCGGCUUUUCGGGAGUGCAAAAAGCUCUCGGAAUAAGGGCUGGGCAAGUCUGGUGCCAGCCGCCGCGGUAAUACCAGCAGCCCAAGUGGUGGCCGCGAUUAUUGGGCCUAAAGCGCUCGUAGCCGGGCUAGCAAGUCCUUUGUGAAAUCGGACGGCUUAACCGUUCGGCAUGCAAGGGAUACUGCUGGUCUUGAGGCCGGGAGACGUCUGAGGUACUCCGGGGGUAGCGGUGAAAUGCUCUAAUCCUUGGGGGACCACCAGUGGCGAAGGCGUCAGACGAGAACGGACCUGACGGUGAGGGGCGAAGGCUAGGGGCGCGAACGGGAUUAGAUACCCCGGUAGUCCUAGCUGUAAAGCAUGCGGGCCAGGUGUCUAGUGUUCCUCGAGAGCACUAGGUGCCGGAGGGAAGCCGUUAAGCCCGCCGCCUGGGAAGUACGGCCGCAAGGCUGAAACUUAAAGAAAUUGGCGGGGGAGCACACAAGAGGUGGGACCUGCGGUUCAAUUGGAUUCAACGCCGGAAAACUCACCAGGGGCGACAGUUGUUUGAGGGCCAAGUUGACGACUUUGCCAGACUAGCUGAGAGGUGGUGCAUGGCCGCCGUCAGCUCGUACCGUGAGGCGUCCUCUCAAGUGAGGUAACGAGCGAGAUCCUCGCCCUUAGU
RNAcentral lists this ribosomal RNA (743 nucleotides) under uncultured archaeon. RNAcentral describes it as "bacterial SSU rRNA". It matches the Rfam family "Archaeal small subunit ribosomal RNA", at positions 325 to 1064 of the family's 1478-position model. The record is from RNAcentral.